GACGAACGCUGGCGGCGUGCUUAACACAUGCAAGUCGAACGGAAAGGCCCUGCUUCUUUGGGCUGCUCGAGUGGCGAACGGGUGAGUAACACGUGAGUAACCUGCCCCUGACUGUGGGGUAACUUCAGGAAGAUGGGGCUAAUACUGCAUAGGAGCUCCUGCUGCAUGGUGGGGGUUGGAAUGUUUCGGCGGUUGGGGAUGGACUCGCGGGUUAUCAGCUAGAUGGUGGGGUAGUGGCUUACCACGGCACUGCCGGGUAGCCGACCUGGGAGGGUGGCCGGCGACAAUGGGACUGAGAUACGGCGCAGACUCGUAUAGGAGGCAACGGUGGGGAGUAUUGUACAGUGGGGGGGAGCGUAAGGCGGCAGCGCUGCGUGCGGGAAGUCGUCCUUCCGGUUGGAAAGCGCUUUCACCUGAGACGAAGCGUGAGUGACGGUACCGGGUGAAGAAGCACCGGCUAACUACGUG
This 468-nucleotide ribosomal RNA is filed under the name uncultured bacterium. RNAcentral's name for it is "partial 16S ribosomal RNA". It matches the Rfam family "Bacterial small subunit ribosomal RNA", at positions 28 to 507 of the family's 1533-position model. The record is from RNAcentral.